CCUACGGGUGGCUGCAGUGGGGAAUAUUGGACAAUGGGCGAAAGCCUGAUCCAGCCAUGCCGCGUGUGUGAAGAAGGCCUUCGGGUUGUAAAGCACUUUCAGUGGGGAAGAAAGCCUUGGGGCUAAUACCCUCGAGGAAGGACAUCACCCACAGAAGAAGCACCGGCUAACUCCGUGCCAGCAGCCGCGGUAAUACGGAGGGUGCGAGCGUUAAUCGGAAUUACUGGGCGUAAAGCGCGCGUAGGCGGUCUGAUAAGCCGGUUGUGAAAGCCCCGGGCUCAACCUGGGAACGGCAUCCGGAACUGUCAGGCUAGAGUGCAGGAGAGGAAGGUAGAAUUCCCGGUGUAGCGGUGAAAUGCGUAGAGAUCGGGAGGAAUACCAGUGGCGAAGGCGGCCUUCUGGACUGACACUGACGCUGAGGUGCGACAGCGUGGGUAGCAAACAGGAUUAGAUACCCGAGUAGUC
This 465-nucleotide ribosomal RNA is filed under the name Vreelandella stevensii. RNAcentral's name for it is "partial 16S ribosomal RNA". It matches the Rfam family "Bacterial small subunit ribosomal RNA", at positions 338 to 795 of the family's 1533-position model. Lineage: Bacteria; Pseudomonadati; Pseudomonadota; Gammaproteobacteria; Oceanospirillales; Halomonadaceae. The record is from RNAcentral.